This 584-nucleotide long non-coding RNA is filed under the name Numida meleagris (helmeted guineafowl). RNAcentral's name for it is "lncRNA (ENSNMEG00000015331.1)". Lineage: Eukaryota; Metazoa; Chordata; Aves; Galliformes; Numididae. The record is from RNAcentral.
UAUUGCAGGGGUCCUGCCUGGGUGAUAUGUAGCUGAGUAGCAGAUGCCGUUUGUGCUGCUGUCUGAGGGAAGUGUGCUGUAAACAGCGGAAGGGAAAUGUUGCAGGAGCAAGCAAUGAGCUGUACCCAGGUGGUUCCAGCAUAUCCAGCUUACAUUGGCCAAGACUUCAUGGCCUGAGUGGGUGGAAGCUCCUCACCUUUAUUGUGCUGGAAUAGCAUCUGACGUGAGAGAUGAGCUGCUGCCCAAUGGGAAAUUUUCUUCUUGACAUCUAGCAUCUUGCUGAAGAGACGAAGAAUAAUGUCGAUGUUGUGCAGCAUUCAACUCCAUCGGCUUCAAAGGGAUGUGUUCUGCUAUCAGAGGGCUUAGAGUUGCUGUGAGCUGUGUGUAUGUCCAGGUAAAAGUGGCUUCAGCCUGUGACUUACUCUGGGACAGCUGACAACAGCAUCUGAUAAUGUUGCCAAAGGCUUCUGUGCAAGUGAUGAGCAUAUUUCCAUCUUAAGGAGAAAGAGAAGAACCCAGCAGGUCCCCUACAGAACUCUUUUCAAACUCACUGAAGAACUCCUUCCAACCCUGGUGUGUUUUGG